ACUUAUAUAAUAUAAUUUAUUAUAUUUGACUUCCAAUCAAAAAAUCUAAAAUCUAGUAUAAGUAA
RNAcentral lists this transfer RNA (65 nucleotides) under Basilepta fulvipes. Its description in RNAcentral is "tRNA-Gly". It matches the Rfam family "tRNA". From Rfam's summary of the family: Transfer RNA (tRNA) molecules are approximately 80 nucleotides in length. Their secondary structure includes four short double-helical elements and three loops (D, anti-codon, and T loops). Further hydrogen bonds mediate the characteristic L-shaped molecular structure. tRNAs have two regions of fundamental functional importance: the anti-codon, which is responsible for specific mRNA codon recognition, and the 3' end, to which the tRNAs corresponding amino acid is attached (by aminoacyl-tRNA synthetases). tRNAs cope with the degeneracy of the genetic code in two manners: having more than one tRNA (with a specific anti-codon) for a particular amino acid; and 'wobble' base-pairing, i.e. permitting non-standard base-pairing at the 3rd anti-codon position. The record is from RNAcentral. Lineage: Eukaryota; Metazoa; Arthropoda; Insecta; Coleoptera; Chrysomelidae.